RNAcentral lists this ribosomal RNA (466 nucleotides) under uncultured bacterium. RNAcentral's name for it is "partial 16S ribosomal RNA". It matches the Rfam family "Bacterial small subunit ribosomal RNA", at positions 28 to 507 of the family's 1533-position model. The record is from RNAcentral.
GAUGAACGCUGGCGGCGUGCUUAACACAUGCAAGUCGAACGGAAAGGCUCCUGCUUGCAGGGGUACUCGAGUGGCGAACGGGUGAGUAACACGUGGGUGAUCUGCCCUGCACUUCGGGAUAAGCCUGGGAAACUGGGUCUAAUACCGGAUAGGACGAUGGCUUGGAUGCCAUUGUGGAAAGUUUUUCGGUGUGGGAUGAGCUCGCGGCCUAUCAGCUUGUUGGUGGGGUAAUGGCCUACCAAGGCGUCGACGGGUAGCCGGCCUGGGAGGGUGUACGGCCGCAUUGGGACUGAGAUACGGCCCAGACUCCUACGGGAGGCAGCAGUGGGGAAUAUUGCACAAUGGGCGCAAGCCUGAUGCAGCGACGCCGCGUGGGGGAUGACGGCCUUCGGGUUGUAAACUCCUUUCGCUAGGGACGAAGCGUUUUGUGACGGUACCUGGAGAAGAAGCACCGGCUAACUACGUG